UGGCGGCGUGCUUAGCACAUGCAAGUCGAAGGGGGCUCCAAGUAGUCACCGGCGGACGGGUGAGUAACGCGUAGGAAUCUACCUAGUAAGAGGAGCAUAGCUUGCCGAAAGGCGGGGUAAUUCUCCAUACUGUACUUCAUAAUAUGAAUGUACCAAAGACGUAAGUCGCUUUUAGAGGAGCCUGCGUCCUAUCAGCUAGUUGGUGGGGUAAUAGCCUACCAAGGCGAUGACGGGUAGCUGGACUGAGAGGUUGAACAGCCACAAGGGAACUGAGAUACGGUCCCUACACCUACGGGUGGCAGCAACUGGGAAUAUUGCGCAAUGGGCGAAAGCCUGACGCAGCGACCCCGCGUGGAGGAUGAAGGCCUUCGGGUUGUAAACUCCUUUUGCAUGGGACGAUAAUGACGGUACCAUGCGAAUAAGCACCUGCAAACUACGUGCCAGCAGCCGCGGUAAAACGUAGGGUGCGAGCGUUAUCCGGAUUUAUUGGGCGUAAAGAGUGUGUAGGUUUUCCAAUAAGUUUUUGUUUAAAGCCUCAAGCUCAACAUGAGAACUGGCAAAAAUACUAUUGGAAUUGAGGUAGUUAGAAGCAACUGGAAUUGACGGUGUUGCAGUGAAAUGCGUUGAUAUCGUCAAGAACACCAAAGGCGAAGGCAGGUUGCUGGGCCUUACCUGACACUGAGACACGAAAGCUUGGGGAGAGAAGCAGAUUAGAGACCUGCGUAUUCCAAGCCGUAAACAAUGCCUGCUAGAUGGUCCGCCUUCGGCGGACUGUCGAAGCUAACGCGUUAAGCAGGCCGCCUGGGGAGUACGGCCGCAAGGCUAAAACUCAAAGGAAUUGACGGGAAGCUGCACAAGCGGUGGAGCAUGUGGUUCAAUUCGACACGAAGCGAAAAACCUCACCAGGGCUUGACAUGUAUCUGCAAAUCCGGCGAAAGCCGGACUCCUUCGAGGGUGAUAUACAGGUGUUGCAUGGCUGUCGACAGCUCGUAUCGUGAGACGUGCCCUUAAGUGGGUCAACGAGCGCAACCCCUGCUCUGUGUUAAAUAUUCACAGAGGACUAUCCCGAUUUUUCGGGGAGGAAGGUGGGGAUGACGUCAAGUCAGCACGGCCCUUAUGCCCUGGGCUACACACAUCCUACAAUGGCGAAAAACAACGAGUCGCGACUUCGCAAGGAGAAGCUAAUCUCUGAAAUUUCGCCUCAGUUCAGAUUGUCGGCUGAAACUCGCCGGCAUGAAGUCGGAAUCGCUAGUAAUCGCGGAUCAGCGGGCCGCGGUGAAUACGUUCUCAGCUUUUGUACACACUGCCCGUCAAGGCAGCAAAGUGGCAGCAGCCGAAUCCGCCUAGCGA
Molecule: ribosomal RNA, 1350 nt
Filed under: uncultured Microgenomates group bacterium
Lineage: Bacteria
Description: bacterial SSU rRNA
Rfam family: Bacterial small subunit ribosomal RNA
Source: RNAcentral